RNAcentral lists this ribosomal RNA (253 nucleotides) under uncultured bacterium. Its description in RNAcentral is "partial 16S ribosomal RNA". It matches the Rfam family "Bacterial small subunit ribosomal RNA", at positions 524 to 776 of the family's 1533-position model. The record is from RNAcentral.
UACGGAGGGUGCAAGCGUUGUCCGGAUUUAUUGGGUUUAAAGGGUGCGUAGGCGGCCCUGUAAGUCAGUGGUGAAAUACUGCAGCUUAACUGUAGCAUUGCCAUUGAUACUGUAGGGCUUGAGUACAGAUGAGGUAGGCGGAAUUGAUGGUGUAGCGGUGAAAUGCAUAGAUACCAUCAAGAACACCGAUUGCGAAGGCAGCUUGCUAAGCUAUAACUGACGCUGAGGCACGAAAGCGUGGGGAUCGAACAGG